Molecule: ribosomal RNA, 465 nt
Filed under: uncultured bacterium
Lineage: Bacteria
Description: partial 16S ribosomal RNA
Rfam family: Bacterial small subunit ribosomal RNA
Source: RNAcentral
CCUACGGGAGGCAGCAGUAGGGAAUCUUCGGCAAUGGGCGCAAGCCUGACCGAGCAACGCAGCGUGAAUGAAGACGGCCCUAGGGUUGUAAAAUUCUGUUUUAAGGGAAGAAAGGUGAGAGGAGGAAAUGACUAUCAAUUGACGGUACCUUAUGAGAAAGCCACGGCUAACUACGUGCCAGCAGCCGCGGUAAUACGUAGGUGGCAAGCGUUAUCCGGAUUUAUUGGGCGUAAAGGGCGAGCAGGUGGUUAAUUAAGUCUGAUGUGAAAGCUCACGGCUUAACCGUAGAGGGUCAUUGGAUACUGGUUGACUUGAGGGCAGAAGAGGGAAGUGGAACUAGAUGUGUAGCGGUAAAAUGCGUAAAUAUAUGUAAGAACACCAGUGGCGAAGGCGGCUUGCUGAGUCGAUACUGACAUUGAGGCACGAAAGCGUGGGGAUCAAACAGGAUUAGAUACCCGAGUAGUC